RNAcentral lists this ribosomal RNA (252 nucleotides) under uncultured bacterium. Its description in RNAcentral is "partial 16S ribosomal RNA". It matches the Rfam family "Bacterial small subunit ribosomal RNA", at positions 524 to 776 of the family's 1533-position model. The record is from RNAcentral.
UACAGAGGUCCCGAGCGUUGUUCGGAUUCAUUGGGCGUAAAGGGUGCGUAGGCGGCGGGGCAAGUCUGAUGUGAAAUCCCGGGGCUCACCCCGGAACUGCAUUGGAUACUGCCUUGCUCGAGUACUGGAGAGGGAACUGGAAUUUACGGUGUAGCAGUGAAAUGCGUAGAGAUCGUAAGGAAGGCCAGUGGCGAAGGCGAGUUCCUGGACAGUUACUGACGCUGAGGCACGAAGGCCAGGGGAGCAAACGGG